This 256-nucleotide unclassified non-coding RNA is filed under the name fungal sp. Its description in RNAcentral is "partial internal transcribed spacer region". The stretch from base 1 to 46 matches the Rfam family "Eukaryotic small subunit ribosomal RNA", at positions 1786 to 1831 of the family's 1831-position model. The record is from RNAcentral. Lineage: Eukaryota; Fungi.
AAGUCGUAACAAGGUUUCCGUAGGUGAACCUGCGGAAGGAUCAUUAACACUUUUUUAAAACAAAGAUUUCAUUGACGAAAUUCAAUUUUUUCAAUGAAACUUUAUUUUACCCACAUUUUUUGGAUGAAUUAUAUCUUUUUUUUUUUAAUACUUUAUUAAACCCCAACAACAACUAUUAUCAUUAUUAUUUCUAACAUUUUAUUAUUAAGAAAAAAAACAUAAAAAACAACUCUUAACAACGGAUAUCUAGGCUCUC